GCUCAAAGCAUUGCUUUAGUCAUAGAAGGUUUUCUCCACUUGGUUACAGGACACAACCUCGGAAGAUCAGGCAAUAUUUUGUAGUAAUCCUACUAAAAAGUAGGAUUGAUUAACAUGGCAUAAAACAGCAGGAAAGGUUCCUGCCUCCAGAAUAACUAUGCAACAUGUUUCCUGUCUUUGGUACAAAAUGACUCAGCAAGCCAUUCAUGGCACUUCCUUUCAUUAAAAGGCUGAGAAACUGAGGAAGCCAGCACGCUGAUGUACAAAUAUAUCACAAACAUGCCGCAAGUAGACCUAUAAGAGCUGCAGAU
This 311-nucleotide long non-coding RNA is filed under the name Pogona vitticeps (central bearded dragon). RNAcentral describes it as "lncRNA (ENSPVIG00000022581.1)". The record is from RNAcentral. Lineage: Eukaryota; Metazoa; Chordata; Lepidosauria; Squamata; Agamidae.